Molecule: ribosomal RNA, 524 nt
Filed under: uncultured bacterium
Lineage: Bacteria
Description: partial 16S ribosomal RNA
Rfam family: Bacterial small subunit ribosomal RNA
Source: RNAcentral
GACGAACGCUGGCGGCGUGCCUAAUACAUGCAAGUCGAACGAAGCUGUUUUAACUGGUGCUUGCACCGACUUAAACAACUGAGUGGCGAACGGGUGAGUAACACGUGGGUAACCUGCCCCAAAGCGGGGGACAACAUUUGGAAACAGAUGCUAAUACCGCAUAAUCACAGAAACCACAUGGUUUCUGUGUCAAAGAUGGUUUCGGCUAUCACUUUGGGAUGGACCCGCGGCGUAUUAGCUAGUUGGUAAGGUAAUGGCUUACCAAGGCAAUGAUACGUAGCCGAACUGAGAGGUUGAUCGGCCACAUUGGGACUGAGACACGACCCAAACUCCUACGGGAGGCAGUAGUAGGGAAUCUUCCACAAUGGACGAAAGUCUGAUGGAGCAACGCCGCGUGAGUGAAGAAGGUUUUCGGAUCGUAAAACUCUGUUGUCAGAGAAGAACGUGUGCGAGAGUAACUGUUCGUGCAGUGACGGUAUCUGGCCAGAAAGCCACGGCUAACUACGUGCCAGCCGCCGCCGUAA